RNAcentral lists this non-coding RNA (48 nucleotides) under Schistosoma bovis. The record is from RNAcentral. RNAcentral also lists the same sequence under 1 other name. Lineage: Eukaryota; Metazoa; Platyhelminthes; Trematoda; Strigeidida; Schistosomatidae.
AUUCAGCUGAUGAGUCCCAAAUAGGACGAAACGUGCAUCAAACUGGAU